GGACGAACGCUGGCGGCGUGGAUUAGGCAUGCAAGUCGCGCGACGAACCUUCGGGUUACGGAGCGGCGAACGGGUGAGUAACACGUGAACAAUCUGUCCUCACGUUCCGGAUAAUUGGCCGAAAGGCCUUGUAAUACGGGCGAGGGCCACUGUGGGGCAUCUCAUAGUGAAGGAAGGUGAAGGAGCAAUCCUUUACCGCGCGAGGAGGGGUUCGCGGCCUAUCAGGUAGUUGGUGCGGUCAUGGCGCACCAAGCCGACGACGGGUAGCUGGUCUGAGAGGAUGGUCAGCCACAUUGGGACUGAGACACUGCCCAGACUCCUACGGGAGGCUGCAGUCGAGAAUCUUGGGCAAUGCACGAAAGUGUGACCCAGCGACGCCGCGUGGAGGAUGAAGGCCCUUGGGUUGUAAACUCCUUUUCGAGGGGAAGAACGCACCUUCGGGUGCUUGACGGUACCCUCGGAAUAAGCCACGGCUAACUACGUGCCAGCAGCCGCGGUAAUACGUAGGUGGCAAGCGUUGUCCGGAUUUACUGGGCGUAAAGCGUGUGUAGGCGGGACUUUAAGUAGCAAGUGAAAGGUUGGUGCUCAACACCAACACUGCUCGCUAUACUGGAGACCUUGAGUGCCGGAGAGGAAGAUGGAACUGCACGUGUAGCGGUGAAAUGCGUUGAGAUGUGCAGGAACACCAAUGGCGAAGGCAAUCUUCUAGACGGAAACUGACGCUGAGACACGAAAGCCAAGGGAGCGAACAGGAUUAGAUACCCUGGUAGUCUUGGCCCUAAACUAUGUUCACUAGGUGUUGGGGGUUUCCCUCAGUGCCGCAGCUAACGCAUUAAGUGAACCGCCUGGGGACUACGGCCGCAAGGUUGAAACUCAAAGGAAUUGGCGGGGGCCCGCACAAGCGGUGGAGCAUGUGGCUUAAUUCGAUGCAACGCGAAGAACCUUACCUAGUCUAGAAUGCUCCUGACAGCCCUAGAGAUAGGGUUUCUUGGGUAAAACCAAGCAGGAUGCAAGGUGCUGCAUGGCUGUCGUCAGCUCGUGUCGCGAGAUGUUAGGUUAAGUCCCGCAACGAGCGCAACCC
This 1081-nucleotide ribosomal RNA is filed under the name uncultured bacterium. RNAcentral's name for it is "bacterial SSU rRNA". It matches the Rfam family "Bacterial small subunit ribosomal RNA", at positions 27 to 1104 of the family's 1533-position model. The record is from RNAcentral.